This 617-nucleotide long non-coding RNA is filed under the name Mytilus galloprovincialis (Mediterranean mussel). The record is from RNAcentral. Lineage: Eukaryota; Metazoa; Mollusca; Bivalvia; Mytilida; Mytilidae.
ACUCCUAAAGUGGUCAACUGACCAUUUUGGUCAUGUUGACUUAUUUGUAGAUCUUACUUUGCUGAACAUUAUUGCUGUUUACAGUUUAUCUCUAUCUAUAAUAAUAUUCAAGAUAAUAACCAAAAACAGCAAAAUUUCUUUAAAAUUACCAUUUCAGGGGCAGCAACCCAACAACGGAAUGUCCGAUUCAUCUGAAAAUUUCAGGGCAUAUAGAUCUUGACCUGAUGAACAAUUUUACCCCCCAUGUCAGAUUUGCUCUAAAUGCUUUGGUUUUUGAGUUAUAAACCAAAAACUGCAUUUUACCCCUAUGUUCUAUUUUUAGCCAUGGCGGCCAUCUUGGUUGGUUGGGCGGGGCAUCGGACACAUUUUUUUAACUAGAUACCCCAAUGAUGAUUAUGGCCAAGUUUGGUUAAAUUUGGCCCAGUAGUUUCAGAGGAGAAGAUUUUUCUAAAAGAUUACUAAGAUUUACGAAAAAAUGGUUAAAAAUUGACUAUAAAGGGCAAUAACUCCUAAAGUAGUCAACUGACCAUUUUGGUCAUGUUGACUUAUUUGUAGAUCUUACUUUGCUUAACAUUAUUGCUGUUUACAGUUUAUCUCUAUAUAUAAUAAUAUUCAAG